GGAGAUUAGAGCAUGUGGUCGCCUUCACAGUUCCCCGAUGUAGCAGAAACGUGAUCAGGGAUAGUCUCGCUUCCUGAAUAGAUGAUCAGAAAUAGUCUUGCUUCUCGGGCAUAUUGAGUGCUCACUGAUAAGAAAAACAAGUAGAUAUCGCAUCACUAGGUAUGGAGAAAACUGGAUGUCUUCUGCAAAGAAAAUUUCGUUAGUAACACUUUUAUACACAAAUAA
RNAcentral lists this long non-coding RNA (225 nucleotides) under Prunus persica (peach). RNAcentral describes it as "long non-coding RNA (PPER_LNC003673)". The record is from RNAcentral. Lineage: Eukaryota; Viridiplantae; Streptophyta; Magnoliopsida; Rosales; Rosaceae.